GGGUUCUAACAGGAAUGACUCGAUUCCCAUAAGUAACUUGGAAUCGUUCACACAACCUGCUGCUAUUGAACUUCCAUAGGAAAAGUCUACCGACCAGCGCAAUCCAUCGACAUUAAAGAUGAGUUUGGAUAGGUAAAUAGGUGCGAUAUAAUGUAUUUAGUUUAUUUUUAUCUCAUAUUAUAAUAUUAUUAUAAUAUGUAAUUUUAUAAUUACCAUUAUUUUUACACUAAUUGAUAAGCGUACUGUCCAUCUAAAUUCACCUGCUUCUAAUUUGGUGAUAGAAAAAGCUUUGAAAACCAAGCUCAACAAGGAUAAUCAUUUGGCUGUGAUUUUUGUUGAAAAUCAAGACCGUAACUGACUAGAAGAUGCAUGGAGGAAUAAUAAAAAGCUGGAGGUGGUGUCGGGGAGGGUGUCUGGGAUAACUCUUAAUACGAAGGGGAUACCCAAACGUGGUAAAAAAAAUCAAUCUCCUUAAGGGGCAAGAGCAACAAAUUUAAGAGCCGAGGGUCUAGGCGACUACCUAUUUCGGAGGCAAUGAGCCGUAUUGUUGAUGAUAUUGAAAGAGUGGCUACCAAUUCCAUUUCGGAGGCAAAGGAGGGUAGCAAGCUGGUAAUGGAUGGUAUAUAACCACUCUGUGAGGUGGGGUUGCUUUUCUUACCAUUUUUGUCUAUGUUAUUGCCUAAGAUUUUUGUUUGGAACUGCCAAGGUUGUGCAAGUCCCAAAUUCAUCAAGGUGGUUAAUGACUAUUUUGUGGAACAUGAAGUUGUGAUAGCAGUUUUCCUUGAAACUUGGGUUAGUGGUCCUAAGGCGGAAAAAAUUAUUGCCAAGCUUGGUAUUGACUUUUCCUAUAGAGUCGAAGCACAGGGAUUUUCUGGGGGAGUUUGGGUCUGCUGGAGGAGUGGAAUUCAGAUUCAAGUGCUGAAUAAUAACCCCCAAUUUAUUCAUAGUUACAUUAAGAAUGAAAUGGAGGUUCAGGGUGCUUUUGUGACUUUCGUAUAUGGUAGUCCGGAUAAGCGAAAGCGUAGGGAUUUGUAGAAUUGUUUAAUUUUAAUUGCUCGUCCUGUUAAUGGGCCUUGGUUAUUGGUGGAAGACUUUAAUGCCUACUUAUCUUCGGGUGAAAAAAGAGGGGGACGAUCAGUGUCGUCGGGACGUAAAUGUUCCAAAGUUUUAUCCAGGUGGAUGGUCUUUAAGAUCUUGGAUUUAAGGGGCCUCAAUUUACUUGGAGAAGGGGGACUACAUUUGAGAGAUUGGAUAUGGCUUUUGGAAACUUUGAUUGGCUUCAAAUUUUUCCAGAUGUUUUAGUCUUUCACCUUCCUCGUUUGAAAUCAGACCACAGGUCGCUUUUGCUUUCAAAGGAUUCCUCUAUGGUCAAUAGACCAAGUCGGCCUUUCCGCUUUUUGGCCUCUUGGGUUCAACACUCAUCAUUCAGAAAUUUUGUUCGUGAGAAUUGGAAUUGUGGACAGGAGAUCUCUACCUGUGUCAGCAAUCUUUCCGUGGAGCUUCAAAAAUGGAAUAAGGAAGUGUAUGGGCACAUUGGCAGAAGGAAGCAAGCCUAGCCCGUCAUAUUGGAAAAAUCCAAGCCGCGCUUAAUAGAAAGUGUUCUAGAUUUCUUUUGGAUCUAGAAUUGAAGCUAAGAAUUGAGUAUGAAAAGGUCCUUGAUGAAGAAGAAUCUUUAUGUUGACAGAAAUCUAGAAUAGAAUGGAUCCAACAAAGGGAUUGUAAUAUGAAAUAUUUUCACACCAAGACUUUGAGAAGGAGGAACUUCAAUAAAAUUUAUGCUUUAAAGGUUGAUGGUGAUUGGUGUUUUGAUGACGAAGUUCUUCAACAUGAAGCAAUUUCAUUUUUCAAAUCAUUGUACUCUCUGAAUGACCAAAGGCAUGUGUUGUUUCCUUUGCGUGGGAUUUUUCCAAGGUUAGAUAUGGAGGGGUUGGAGGAUAUGGCUAGGGUUGUAACCGUUGAUGAGAUUCAUAUUCCUUUUUUUAGUAUGGGUCCACUAAAGGCCCUGAGAUCAGAUGGUUUUCAUGCCUUAUUCUACCAGAACCAGUGGAAGACGGUUGGCCAGGAUGUGUGCCCUUGGAUUCAGGAAAUAGUUGCAGGUGGUUCGGUUGAUUGUAAUGUCAACAAAACCUUGUUGGUCUUUAUCCCUAAAGUCAAAAGUCCGAAGUCCUUAUCCCAAUUUUGACCCAUUGCAAUAUUUUGUAUAAGAUUAUUACAAAGAUCAUUGCAAACCGUUUUAAGCUUGUGUGUCCUAGACUCAUUGCUCGGAACCAAGUCAGUUUUGUUGUAGGGAGGCAAAUUACUAACAAUAUUAUUAUUGCCCAAGAGGUCAAUCAUUCAAUGAGAACCAAGAGGGGCAGGAAAGGGUGGAUGGCAAUCAAAGUGGAUUUAGAAAAGGCUUACGAUAGACUGAGAUGGGACUUCAUCGAAGACACAUUGGUUGAUGCAGGUAUCCCUUUCUCUUUUGCUAGAAUCAUCAUGGAAUGCAUUUCUAUUGUAUCUAUGUAGAUUGUUUGGAAUGAAAGCCUUACAGAGGGGUUUAAGCCGAGGAGAGGAAUCCGUCAAGGGUGCCCCCUCUCCCCAUAUCUUUUUGUUCUAUGCAUGGAGAGAUUGGGUCAGCUUGUUCACAAAGAAGUCGAGGAUAAUUCUUAGAGGCCUAUAUUGAAUACAAAAAAUGGCCCAUCCUUAUCGCAUCUGUUCUUUGCUAAUGACCUUUUCUUGUUUAUGAAAGUGGAUGUGAAUCAAACACGGAUGGUGAGGAAAGUUCUUGAUGUUUUCGGAGCGGUUUCAGGUCACAAAGUGAAUGCUAACAAGAUGGAGGUUUUUUUCUCUAAAAAUGUUCGGCCACUUGAAAAAGAUGGUAUUUGUAGUAUCCUGAGAUUUAUUGAGACGAAUGAUUUUGGCUUUUUUUGGGCAUGCCAUUGUUGCAUCAAAGGGUUACAACUAGCAAGUUCAAGUUUAUAGUGGAAAAAAUCAGGAGGAAGUUGGACAGUUGGAAUGUUAAAAUGUUGUCCACGGCAGGGAGAGUUACUCUGGCACAUUUGGUUCUUAUGGCGAUACCAAAUUACUUUAUGCAAACUGUCAAAAUUCCUGUUAGUAUUUGUGCCGAGAUUGAAAGAAUUGCACAGGAUUUUAUUUGGGUAAGAGACACAGGAAGGCAUGGGAUAUCUUUUGUUAAAUGGUCAGACUACUGUCAACCUUUCAUCAACGGUGGUCUUGGCAUUCGGAAUCUUAAGGAGCAAAAUGAAUCCUUUUUGCUUAAGCUGGGAUUUAAUCUUCUUACUAGUAAGCAAGCAUUGUGGGUUAAGAUCCUUAGAGCCAAAUAAAAGGUUAUGGAGGUUUGCCCUGAAGAUAUUUCGAGAAGAUCGUGCUCUUUUGUUUGGAUAUCUUUGUCCAAAGUAUGGUCAAUCCUUCGUCAAACCUGGCUUGGUCAGUUGAGGAUGAAAGUCUUAUAAGGAUUUGCGCUGAUAAUUGUGUCGCAGAGAUUGGGCCAUUAAUAAACUUUCGUCACCAUAUGGAGAAUAUUGAUUUGAAUACAACCUUAAACGAGAUUCCAUUAACUGACUGUAGUUGGGAUUGGAAUUUUCUAAGCUUUUUUGUGGAUAAUAGCAUAUUGUCCUAUAUUGCGGUCAUUCCACCUCCUAAUCAUUUAUUAGGCAAUGAGGAACUGAUCUCUAGAUGGUCUGACCAUGGUCAACUUACUAUCAAAUCUGCUUAUCACUUUCUUACGCAUGAGUCUCAAUCCAGAAGACAACAUAUGGAAGCUCGCUUGGUCCUUUACUGGUCCCCAAAGAGUAAGACGAUUUCUUUGGUUGGUUCUUAAGGAAAGGUUGAAGAGUCUAUUAUUCAUGUCCUGUGAGAUUGUGUCUUUGCACGAGAAGUGUGGAGGCAGGUAAUCCCUUCAAGGAUUUGGGGAGAUUUUCUUUCUGCUCCAUUGGUGGAGUGGAUCUUGUUGAAUUUAAAAAAUGACUUUGGCUUGGCUUUUAUGAAAGUUAAAUGGCAGUCUUUCUUUGGAAUUAUUUGCUAGAAUCUUUGGAAGCAAAGAAAUUUGUGGGUGUUUUAAGGGGUAAGCUCAAAUAGCUCCCACAUUAUUCAUUUAACGUGGUGUUGAGUGAAUUCCAUUAAGUAUCAUCCUGCAAUAUCCGUGGGUGGUAUUAUGAAGCAACGAAGCGAUCAAGCUUGGAAUCCUCCUCCAGUGGGGUUCAUUAAGUUAAAUACAGAUGGAGCAAGGGAUCCUGCUUCGGGGGAUGCUUCAGCAGCGACUGUGGCUAGAGAUGAUAUUGGUUUAUGGUGUGGAGUUGGAAGAAACAUUGAGAAAUGCAGUGUUAUGCAGUCAGAACUUUGGGCAAUCUAUGGUGGACUCCAUUUGGCGUGGGAUAAUAAUUGGAUCAAUAUUAUAGUUGAAACAAACUGUGCGCAAGCUGUGGAAGUCAUUUUAGGAAUGCAAUUUUGGGCUAAAUAGAAGAAAAAGGAAACAAUUGGGCUAGAUUGAAGAAAGAAGCAAAGAAGGAGGGCCAAAGUAGAAUUUUUCCAAUAUUAAUUAGCUGAUAUUGUUGACUUAGUGGGAGAUUAUUUUGGGAUAUUUUUUAUAUUAUGAAAUAUUUUCCUUGAUUUUCUAUACUAGUUGGCUCUUAAUUUAGCAAGGCCACUAGUAUAAAUAGAGACUACAUUUGUUCAUUUUAAUCAUCAAUUCAUAAAUCAAUUUUCAUCUUUGAAUUCAA
Gossypium raimondii (Peruvian cotton) is the source of this 4718-nucleotide long non-coding RNA. RefSeq lists it as uncharacterized. The record is from RefSeq and is a predicted model, not a curated record. Lineage: Eukaryota; Viridiplantae; Streptophyta; Magnoliopsida; Malvales; Malvaceae. The transcript is spliced from 2 exons.